UUUCGUCGCGUCCCGGUGUGAAAGUCCAUCGCUUAACGGUGGAUCCGCGCCGGGUACGGGCGGGCUUGAGUGCGGUAGGGGAGACUGGAAUUCCCGGUGUAACGGUGGAAUGUGUAGAUAUCGGGAAGAACACCAAUGGCGAAGGCAGGUCUCUGGGCCGUUACUGACGCUGAGGAGCGAAAGCGUGGGGAGCGAACAGGAUUAGAUACCCUGGUAGUCCACGCCGUAAACGGUGGAUGCUGGAUGUGGGGCCCGUUCCACGGGUUCCGUGUCGGAGCUAACGCGUUAAGCAUCCCGCCUGGGGAGUACGGCCGCAAGGCUAAAACUCAAAGAAAUUGACGGGGGCCCGCACAAGCGGCGGAGCAUGCGGAUUAAUUCGAUGCAACGCGAAGAACCUUACCUGGGCUUGACAUGUUCCCGACGAUCCCAGAGAUGGGGUUUCCCUUCGGGGCGGGUUCACAGGUGGUGCAUGGUCGUCGUCAGCUCGUGUCGUGAGAUGUUGGGUUAAGUCCCGCAACGAGCGCAACCCUCGCCCCGUGUUGCCAGCGGAUUGUGCCGGGAACUCACGGGGGACCGCCGGGGUUAACUCGGAGGAAGGUGGGGAUGACGUCAGAUCAUCAUGCCCCUUACGUCCAGGGCUUCACGCAUGCUACAAUGGCCGGUACAACGGGAUGCGACAGUGCGAGCUGGAGCGGAUCCCUGAAAACCGGUCUCAGUUCGGAUCGCAGUCUGCAACUCGACUGCGUGAAGGCGGAGUCGCUAGUAAUCGCGAAUCAGCAACGUCGCGGUGAAUGCGUUCCCGG
RNAcentral lists this ribosomal RNA (803 nucleotides) under Bifidobacterium breve. RNAcentral's name for it is "bacterial SSU rRNA". It matches the Rfam family "Bacterial small subunit ribosomal RNA", at positions 578 to 1377 of the family's 1533-position model. The record is from RNAcentral. Lineage: Bacteria; Bacillati; Actinomycetota; Actinomycetes; Bifidobacteriales; Bifidobacteriaceae.